UAGAGUACUAGACUCGUUGGCUCAGCUGCUCCAAACAGUGUGUGGAAUUGGAGUGCAGUGUGACUGGUUUCUAAGACAUUUGGUUAGCUGAUCUCAUGUGUUGGUGCUUUGCUCAGGUGCAUUUCUUGUGCGUCUUAUGUUUAUGUUAGAUGUGUGUACUGAUGUCACAAGAAGGUUUGGAAGCUACGUGUUGUUGCUUACAGUUUCUCCAUGGCUUCUGUUCCUACUUAGUCUGUGAGCUUGUAUCGUUGUUCAGUCUAAGAGUUUGUUUGUAUCUGUCUUAUUCUACAGUCAAUUUUUUCAUCAUUCCAGUUUCUUGUUAUUCAGUUGUGAGCUUGCAUUGCGACGGCCUUAUUCUCAGUAUUUCCACACAUCAUAUUUUUCCUUUACGUGGGAUUGAGUACAUGUAGAUAUGGUCAUUCAGUUUCAUUCAGUCUAGUACCUCAGUUUCUUAGUUCCGCAUUAUAUUUCAGUUGAGCACUUCACCGGUUUCUUUAAAAUUUUGCCCAUGGAGCCUUGCAGCGCUCAUUCAUAUUGUGGCAACGAUUAUGAAGGCAGUGCCCAUGGAGCCUGUUGAUUAUUAUGUCCUCCAAACACAACAAAACACACGAUUGACUUCUAGCGAAGUAAAUCCCUUUUGAAAAUCACCAUGGUGGUGUUGGUGCUCAGCGUAUCAGCAUAGCCCAGAGCGCAUUUCAAUGCAUUCUGAACCACACUGUUUACCAAAACGAAUGAAGAGCAAUUGUGUCGAGGAAAAACCCUUGCCCUGCUAGUGCCUAGUUGACGGCAUUUUCCAAGACAAGGAAAACAUUGCGUGCCAUUACAUUUUUUUUCCAGAAAAUGGAAAUGGCGCAGAGCUUUCUAGGUUUCAUGUAGCUGACUCAAGCAUUUAAGCAAACAGCAACAGAAGUACGCCUAUAUGCUAAACAGCAAUACAGUUCGUGCUCUGACGUUGUCAGGACGAAUUCGACAUGAGAACCACAGUCAACAAACAUGGUAGCUUGCACGAUUCACGCUUAAACUGCAUAACAAUUGACUUCCACCCUUCAUGCUUAAACUCCUCAACAGAAACAAAACACAACCUGGUAUUAGUAGCUUGGAAGAAGCCGACGGCAGCAGACUAAAGAUGAUGGGUUUGCCCAUUUGCAAUUCAUCACUAUUGAGCGGCACAUCAGAGAUCAGUGGGUCUUCGAUAGCGCCAACAAUAUGCCACGAUCUGAAAAAAAACACCAAGCAGAAAACUCGUAACCAACUGUACAUCUCAGAAUUUGUAAUUUGAUGUGCGGCUGUAUGUACAACUAGUUCCAGAGGUUACAAGACUGCAUUGGACAUGUGAGCUUCAGCUAUACCAGAAAGUAAUUUAAUGCAUCUUAACGAAAAAUGUGAAGCAAUGUAAAGUGAUAAUGCAAUACCAACAAGGCUGAAUAAAUAUUAGCAAUCUCUUUUUUAACCAAGGUUGACUAAAUACUUAGCAAUCUCUAUUUGAACCAAGGAUGCACUUCAUGCUUCACCAACUAUUUGACCAAUCAACAGCAGUAGCAAAAAAGAGACAUUUUAUUCCAGGGGUAAUGUUGCAUGUAAUAGCACAGAAGAAUACCGGACCCGAGUCCACAAUUUGAAAAUGGCUACAGAAACAAGAGGUGACUUAUUUUAUGACAGGACAUCCCAACAUCAAUUUCCAAGUUUUUAGUAAAAGUGAAAAACAUCCGAGUUCCACACCUGUUAGAAUCUAUUUACAAAUGCUAAACGCUUUGUGGUGAAACUAAGUUCCUUGCCCACCAAUUGUUUUUCCAAGAAGUCUGGUACUGCUACCUUUGAAAGACAAGAUCAACAUUAUACUAAAAUUUCAUGAAAGGGAGACGACAUAGAUUACACAUAAUUUCUCUGUUCCAAGUAGCUGAGGCAGGAAUUAGGCAAACAGUAGAUGAAAUAUGCCUCACGUAUUAAUCUGAAAUACAACCUUUUGACAUUAUGACGAGGACGAAUUCAACAAGACAACAUCAAUUAAUUGUAAGGACUUGCACAAUUUGUAAGUAAACUGCUGAACAGAGAAUAAACGACUUCACACUUAAUAGUAGCAGCUCUGAAAGAAACCAGCAGCACACUUUGAUCAGUUAAUCCGUAUUAACGAUAACAAUGUGCCAUGAUAUAAAAUAUAUCAUGUACAAAACUCAUAACAAACUCCAAGUCAGCAUUUUACUUUGGUGAGCUAUAUGCUAGCACCAGUUCCAAUGGUUACAACACUGGGUUUGAGAUGUGACCUUCAGCUAUGCCACAAAAUAAGAGAUGGUUAUUUAUAAGAAAGUCUGACGGAAGGUAACAGGAUAGUACGAGACCAACAUGUUUGUGAAUUGUGUACAUAUUUAGCAAUUCGACCAAUGCAUGGUCAUGGUCCUUCACAUGUCAAAAUCUCAUAUCAUAAACCACAUUAUGUUUUCCAGCGUCAUAUAUUAAGUUUUCUCUAUCACAGAGAAUUGUCCUUGGCAAGAUUCAUAUGUGAAUAUACAUAUAACAAACAUAUAUUACUUUCAUUACGACUAAUUAUUCACAAACCACAACCAGCUAAAUAAGCAAACAUACAGAAGCCGUAACGAAAAUGCAAGACAAUAGACAAGAAGCAAGGUCUAGCAGCAAUACCUGGAGUGUAGAAGCUCAUGUAGGGCAGGACGCUAAAGUAGUGUGCGGGCUCGUCAACCUUCCUGACUCGCCCUGACUUGAGCUCUAGAGUGAAUAAGCCAGCAUCUGUGUUGAUGAAGAUGACACCCACACCCUCUGCGGAACCAACCACAAAUGGUUGGUAAUCUGGAUCCACGACGGGCACAAUUGUCUCCAGCUCGAUGCUCCUGCAUUUUACCCAUUCAGCAGCUGCUUCUGAAUUCACCUUCCUUGACCACAGAUAAAGAGUAGAACUCUCAGUGCAGGCAAACCCCAGCGAACUGUCCUCCAUCACCAUGAGAGCAAUUGGGCUCCUAGUGUGUGGCGGCGGGUUAAUCAUGGAUAGGCAGUUGUUUGGCAGGUUGUACUUGACGAUUUUGUGAGCGGACCGAAGUGUGAAGUAGACUUCAUCUCCAAUGACAGCUAUUCGCCGGGGCAUGACAUAGGGCAGGUGGUAGAGGUUUUCUGCAAUGUCGUCUCGCAUGUGCUGGGCGUAGCACUCGCAGGUCGCAGCCAUCGUCAAGAGACACUGGCGCACUCCACUCGCCUGUCACCGACGAGUACACGCUCGCCUUAACCUGGCGGCCGGCGUCGUCGGUGGCCAGGAAGGCCACGCGGAAGGGGCCGCCUUGGCAGUCGAGAUGCUGGCAGCCAUCGGCGGCGCAGAAGACCGCGGCGGUGCAGAUGAGCCAGACGAUGCCCGGCGCAGGUAGGACGUGCCGGUCGCCCGUGACGGGGUCCGAGACGACGAAGACCAGGCCCUCGUCCUGCACCAUGUGGAUGAGCACGCGGCCGUGGCGGCAGUCGAGGGGGACGGGGUGCUUGCCCUGGCCGUCGGAGCCCGGGUAGGGGAAGUCCGGCAUCGACGUGGUGGAGGUGAAGCGGGGCGCGGGCCUUUCUUGGAGGACCUGGAACCUCUGGAGGAGGCCGAGGAGGGGAGGGGCUCCGUGGAAGGCGCGGUAGCGGCGGCGGAAGGAGGGGUCGCAGACGACGCGGAGCCACGACUUGCAGACGAGGGCGGCGCGGAAGAGGUGCUCGGGCUCGGAAGGAGGAAGGAGGUGGAGGACCUCGCCGACGAGCUCGUCCAUCAGCUCCGGCCGUGGGGCCAUGGUGCGGUCGCCGGAAUGGGUGGGGGCCGCCGCCGGGUCGGUGGGUCGGGGAGGAGGCGAAGACGCGAGUGAGACGGCCCAUUCUACUUGGUUCGGCUCUGUGGCCUCGCUCAAUAGAAAAUCAUGAGACUUCCUAGUCUGCGGGACCUCCAAUACCCCUAUUUGCCGCACGAUGCAGAAAAUUGUCGGGGCUUCGCACAGGGCGCCCGCGACUGGGCCGACCCAUUUGAUUUUUAUUUUUUCUGUUUCUUUUAUUUUUCCUUUUUAAUUUUUUUCAAGUUUACUUUUCCUUUUCAAAAAAUGUUCAUAGAUAUAAAAAAUAUUUUUAAUUUUUUAGAUUUGAUAAAAUUUCCAAAAAAUGUUCUUGUUUUCAACUUUUGUUUAGAAUUUUCGAUAUUUUUUCAGAAAUUCAAAACCUAUUUGCUUACUUUAAAAAAUGUUCGAUAUUAAAAAAAGAAUUUCAAAAAGUGUUUGCAUUUUAUUUUAUUUUUGUAAAUUCAAAAAAGUGUUCUCAUUUUUGAAAUUUACCUACAAAUUCAGAAAACGGUCACGUUUUCACAAAAAAUCGGAAAUUCAUAAAUUGUUUGGGGAAUUCCAGAAAAUAUCCGUGUUUUCAAAAUAUUGUUCGUAAUUUCAAUUGUUUUUCCUAUUUUUUAUUUUUUAGUUUCUUUUAAAGAAAUCACAAAUUUUAAAAUGUUUAGCUUUCAAAAAUAUUUUUGUUUUAAGAAAAUCACAUUUAAAAUUGCAAGGAAAUGUUUAUAUCUGUCACAACUUGUAGUUCAUAUACACCGCGCUACCUAUAUCGACACCAAAGCUCAGGAACAUCCAAUGGCAAGCGACGAGGUUCACCACCGGGAGGUGCUAGGUUCGAUCCGAGGUCCCGGGCUUUCCCCGCCUUAAUCCAAACCAAAUAGCUAAAUUUCAAUCCACGUGCAACAGUCUGCCUAGGAUGGCCCGGGUGGCUCGGGCUAAUCCACAUGGAUUAAUCCUUGACUAAACAAGGCCCUAAGGACCCUAAACCCGAACCCAGAUGCAUCGGGCUCGCGCAGAGCUGGCCAAAUGGGCCAGCACGACACGACACUCCCUGGGCCGUGCUAAUCGUGCCUGGCAUGACACGGCCCACACAUGCACGUUUACUACAUAGGUCGUGUCGUGCCGACCCGCGUGCCUUGCUCCCUGGCACAACACAUUUAGUAAAUGGGUUGGCCUUGGCGCAACACAUUUAGUAAAUGGGCUGCCGGCCGUGGCAUGUCUGGGCCGCAUGCUGUUUAGCCUGUUGUGCUAUAUUUUUAGGUUUAUUGGGUUGUUUUAGGUCAUAUAUAAUAAUAAUAAUAAUAAUAAUAACAGGUCGUGCCAUGCCGAGCCCGUAUGCCUCGCUUCCAGGCCCAGGCACGACCCCUAGCGUGCCGCUUGCUGGACACGACAGAAAUCACUAAUUAGGGAACACUCUUUGCAAAGUUUAUUCCCAACUUCCCAGGUGUGUCACUUGUCGUAACCUGUAAUUUUUUUUUUUCGUAGAUCUGUUUAUUCAAAAGUUUUAUCUCUUAAACCGUGAGUUCAAAUCUUGAACCGUUUUCACCGUUGGAUUCCCCGUGUCGAGCUCUACAAAAUUAGAUUCCAUCUUGCUAGGUUUAUAUAAUGAUCUAUGUAGACCGUUGUCACCUUCCGUAUAGUACAUAGUACAUGUAUAGUACUAGAUGACAACAGUCUACAUCGAUUUUGGGAGCGGAAGGUGAUAACAGUCUACAUGGAUUCCAGUAGCGACGAUGAGGAGUCCGAGGAUGAAGAUGCAUCGGAGCCGAGCGAAUCUGACUACUCCGGUGAGGACUAGAGUACUAGACUCCUUAGCUCAGCUGCCCAAACAGUGUGUGGAAUUGGAGUGCAGUGUGACUAGUUUAAGACAUUUGGUUAGCUAAUCUGAUGUGUUGGUGCUUUGCUCAGGUGCAUUUCUUGUGCGUCCUAUGUUUAUGUUAGGUGUGUGUACUGAGAUCACAAGAAGGUUUGGAAGCUAUGUGUUGUUUGCUUACAGUUUCUCCAUGGCUUCUGUUCCUACUUAGUCUGUGAGCUUGUAUCGUUGUUCAGUCUAUCAAUACCGAGAGUUUAUUUAUAUUUGUCUUAUUUUACAGUCAAUUUUUUCAUUAUUCAGUUUCUUUUUAUUCAGUUGUGAGCUUGCAUGGUGACGGCCUUAUUCUCAGUAUUUUCACAUAUAUCAUAUUUGAGUAUAUAUAGCUAUGGUCAUUCAGUUUCACUCAGUCUAGUACCUUAUUUUUCUUCACUUUUCAGUUUCCAAUCUAGUGCGGCAAUGAUUAUGAAGGCAGUCUAUCCUUCAUUUUGGAAUUGACAAACAAAGCAGCGAACCCAGAGUUAGGGCACUCUUUUCUUUUGCAAUGUUGAUUUUUCAUUUUGGUAGAUGAUGAUUUUCAUUUGCACGGUUGGUUUUGCGUCGACAGUAAAUUUGAAGUGCAACCAAGCAGUAAAUCAGUCACCUACUCACCUCGGCCGAUUUUGUACACGAUGAAAGGAGACUAUCCUUUGCUUUCUAUCCUAAAUAUAAGUAUUUUUAGAGAUUUUAAUAUAAACUACAUACAGAGCAAAAUUAGUGAAUCUACACUCUAAACUAUGUCUAUAUACUACAUGUAUCCAUUGAAAUCUCUAAAAAGACUUAUAUUUAGAAACAUAUGAAGUAUAAAGCAGGGCAAGAUAAUUAGCAGACCUUUUUGACUAGGGCAGGAAAGAGAAGUGCGGGCGCAACAGAAGUCUGACAAUAGCCAUUUCAUGAUAGAACGCGGAAUCCUCUUCCAAAUAAUCAAGUGGGAAUAAAUGAAAUGGUAAAAAGUGAUUAGCUGUUGUAAUCUUGUUGGGCGUUGCCAACUAGACGUGGUUCAAACAUUGUAUAAUUAAACCAUUAUGCGCCAAACAACUCUACUCUCUAUCGUCUCCGACAGCAACCCGACACGAUGUACGAACGAAAAAACACUUUCAGAACAUAGUUAAAACACAAGCUAGCACAAAUAAAAUCAAAACAAAACAAUCAAUCGUAAAUAAUCUACUUGAUUCAAAAGAGUUAAUCUCACCGGUGCUGUUAGCCUCUCUAGUCUCUAUCAUGUGUACUGUAGUCCUUCCCUGAAACAUUCUUCAUUUCAAGAAAGACGCGAAAACAUAUUGUGAUACAUUAUUAGAGCAACUUCAAUGAGGCGACCUAUUUCGUCCGCCCGCGUUCGUUUGGGUCGGCACGGACAAAAGUGGCGGCCCAACGCGCCGACUCAAACGGACGCGCGUCCGUUUUUCGUCCGUGGGCGACCCAUUCCAGGCUCAUUUUUUAGCCGGAUUUGCGUCGGUGCGGACACGAGAUGGACGCCCGCGCGCCUACUCCUUUUCCCGGACCCGCCUGUCGGUGCCAGCCACAACCAUUUCCCCCCAUUUUCCCAAAAACGCUCCCGCCAGCGCGCGCCCCCCGCCCCCAACCAGCGAUGAAGGACGCCAUCGACCUCGACCUCGACGCCGCCGGCGGCCUCGCCUCCUUCACCUCGUCCGGCGCCGUCGCCCCCUCCGGGAAAGGCAAGCCUCGUGCCCGCGCAAGACCGCCGCGGCGAUCAAGCCGAAGAAGGCGCUGACGCCCGAACAACGGGCAAGGAAGUCGGCCAAGAGGAAGGGCCGGAGGCACGCCGCAGACGCGAGGGAUGAGGCCGCUGCCGCCGCCGUGCAGCAGGAGUUCACCCACGCCCGCGUCGCGCUGCAACGAGGGAGGCGCUUUACAUGCUUGGGGUAAACCCUAGGCAGCACCACCUCGUCCAAGCCGUCGUCGCCGCGGCCAGCACCGGCUCGUCGGCAUUUCCUCGGAUGGUGAUGCCCGACUCACCCCGCGCAUCGGCUUGCAACCCGGUCCCCGGCUUCCACGUCUACCCGCAGGCCUCCCGCCUCUCCGGGGAGUGCUCACCCGACGUGAGCGUGGUCGCGCCUUCCACACCCGCGCCCACGCCCAUCGACCUCAACGCCAUCCCGGUGGUCGGUGGCUCGUCGUUCGGCGGCGCGAGGAAACGCACGCGACAGACGCCGGCCGGCGGUCUCCCGGACGCCCGCAACCUGUUCGAGGAAAUGCCGUCCGUCGUCGACGAGGACUACAUGCAACACCUCAUCUUCGAGGGUGGUGCGCCGGGCGCUGGCUACGAUCCCGAGGAGACGCAAAGCCAGGACGGCCGCGGGGCGUUCACGCCGGCCGCUGGCUAUGAUCCCGUUCAGGCGGCCUUCAUGCGUGAUCAGGUCGGCGUCGACCUGGACGGCUUCCCCCUCGACCAUGAGUUCCCGGACGACUAUGGGCUAGAGGAAAAGGACGAGUGCGACAUCGAAGUGGAGCCUUUGUUCGACGAGCUCGCCAACCAAGCCGCCGGGCCGAAGCCGAAGUGCAAGAGCAAACACACGAAGGCGUACACAGCUGCCGAGGACAAGCUUCUAUGCGAGUGUUGGCGAGACAUUGGACAAGACCCAAAGACGGGCGCCGAGCAAAAGCAUUCAACCUUUUGGACUGGUGUGCACCACGAGUUUCAUGAGCGCAAGAAGUUUCCACCCUACCAUUUGUGAGCACGCGCGGGUGGGUCUCCAUUUCCAAGCGGUGGAGGGUAAUCCAACUAGAGUGCAACAAGUUUUGUUCCACCCUUGAGAGCGUCAAGACUCGCCCCGUGAGCGGCAUCGGCGUGCAAGACAUGGUAUGAUAGCAAGCAAGUCGGCCUCUUUUGUGCCAUCAAGAUCAUUUUUUUACGUCUUCAUUUGCUAUCACUUGCCCAUAUGCUUGCAUGGAAACAUUUUGUAGGCAUUUCAAGCUUUGGAGGCAUUCAAGGUUCAACACAAUGGCAAGUGCUUCAACCUCUCCCAUUGCUAUCGUGUCAUCAAGGACGAAGAGAAGUUCAAGGCACAAUAUGCCGCGCUCAAGGCACGUGGGGGGAAGGGCGCCGUGGAGGAUGUUGGGGAGGGCGAGCCGGCACGACCGCGGGGGAAGACCAACUCCAAGAAGGAGGACAAGCGAGAUGCGGCCACCAACGCCUUGAUCGCAAGCGUGGACGGCAUGAUGAAUAAGAAGGACUCAAGGGAGGAGGAGUGCCGGCGUUUCAAAGAAGAGCAAAUGAGCGCUUUCAUGGAGAUCCAAAGGAGGAGGCUUGAGCUUCACGCCGAGAAGCAAGCCAAGAUGUUCGAGCUCGAGGCCGAGAAGCAAGCGAAGAUGCUAGAGAUCGAGGCCGCCAACGCCAAGACAAAGGCGAAAGAAGUGGCUCUUGCAAGCAUGAUGACCGGGGUGGAGAUCAUGAAGGUGGAUCUCAACGCCUUGUCGCCAAGGAAAAGGCCGUGGUUCGAGAAGAUGCAGGCCGACAUGCUCAAGUUUCAGGACGACUGAUCUUGGCGUCGAGGGCCAUCUUUUUGUAUGCCGGCAGGUGUGCCGGCAUGACCACGGGAGCCGCGGUGGCGUGGUCGAACUCCAAGUCCCACCAUUUUUUGCAUGCUGGCAUGUGUGCCGGCCGGCUGGCGAGCGAGUGCGCCAGCAGGAGCUAUGGUAUUUUCUAAAACCGACAUUGUAUGCCGGUGCUGGCAUAGUGCCGGCAUGAGACAUGGCCGCUGGCAUGAUCGGCCGCGAGCCUUUUUUAAUUCAAAAGUUGAAUGUGGACAUGAAAUGGGUCGGCGCGUUGGGCACAUUGCCGACCCAAAUAUAAAACUGGGCGGACGCCGAACAGGCGGCUGACCCAAAUGGACAAAAAGCGGACAAAUACGCCGUCUAUUUGGAUCGCCCCAUUGGAGUUGCUCUUAGCAUCUGGCACCACCGGUCGGGUAAGAAUAUACCGUCAGCAUCUGUAACCCUUCAACCAUGAAACAUUCUUUCCGUCCACCAUGUGCAGUAUACUUUCAGUUGACGACCAGUUCGUUUUGUAAUGGUAGGCGGCUAACCAGCUAAUCAAGGGGGAAGAAGGGGGGUCACUGCUUAUAGUGCGCUGUAACCUGCCACGGCAAGCAACGGACAUGUUAUCGGCCAAUCCCAAGACGUCAUCUGAAAGCAAAAGUCGUCCGUCCAAAUUCCUACCCCGGACGAAACUUUCAGCAGCUGCUAUACCUAAGAAGCCACAGCCAUUAGAAAACGUGUAUAUCGCCAAAUCGCAACAUCAUCGAACCGUAAAAUAACCCAGAGGCAAGGCGUCGCACGCAAAAGACUCGGGCUUCGCUCGCGAUGUGUUGAUGUGAUGUGACGACAGAUAACGCUGUGUAUUAGGAUAGGAUUGAAUUUGCCAUUAGCGUUGGUUGUGAGAAGGCGACACGUGCGUAUUUUAGCCUAUUUUAGGAGAUCAUUCAUUGGAAAAAAAUAGCAUGCAACUGACGGUCUUGAUCGACGCAGAAAUGCUAUGUAUGUGAUCUGCGCCGUCCGCCUGAAUUGAUGACCUUCUAUUUCUUUCCCUCCAAUUGGCGUGCAAGGUGCAAGUGCAACUACUACUAAUUGCUUACCAUUUCAAUCCGCGUGGGACACCCUAAAAAAAAAA
RNAcentral lists this long non-coding RNA (10276 nucleotides) under Triticum aestivum (bread wheat). RNAcentral's name for it is "long non-coding RNA (TAES_LNC023921)". The record is from RNAcentral. Lineage: Eukaryota; Viridiplantae; Streptophyta; Magnoliopsida; Poales; Poaceae.